AUUGAACGCUGGCGGCAGGCCUAACACAUGCAAGUCGAGCGGAUCUGCGGACGGGUGGGUAAUGACUAGGAAUCUGCCUGGUCGUGUGGGAUGACGUCCGGAAAGGGGCGCUAAUACCGCAUACUAUCAGAUGAGCCUAGGUCGGAUUAGCUAGUUGGUGGGGUAAAGGGCUACAAAGGCGACGAUCCGUAACUGGUCUGAGAGGAUGAUCAGUCACACUGGAACUGAGACACGGCCCAGCCUCCUACGGGAGGCAGCAGUGGGGAAUAUUGGAAAAUGGGCGAAAGCCGGAUCCAGCCAUGCCGCGUGUGUGAAGAAGGUCUUCGGAUUGUAAAGCACUUUAAGUUGGGAGGCGUUACCAACAGAAUAAGCACCGGCUAACUUCGUGCCAGCAGCCGCGGUAAUUC
Molecule: ribosomal RNA, 407 nt
Filed under: uncultured bacterium
Lineage: Bacteria
Description: partial 16S ribosomal RNA
Rfam family: Bacterial small subunit ribosomal RNA
Source: RNAcentral